GGGUAUGUACUUAGCUGACGGUGCGAUAGGAUUCUGGGUUACACCCCUUAACCUUGAAGCGCUGAGGAAAGUCCGCCCACCAUGAGGAUCAUUUGGGUUCUGAAAAGGGCCUGAGUGCUCUGGAAAAUUGUUGCCGGGCUAGUAAUCCGGAUCCAGCGAUGGAUGGCAACCGCUCAGAAACGGUACUGCCUGCAAGAUGCUAUGAGGUUGUGACGGUUUUGGCAACAAAACUCAGAUAACCAGCCGAGUUUGCUUGCAGGAUAAGUUGAAACGGCGAGCCCCUUCAGGUGCAAGUCAUUGACGCUCAGUAGAAUGCUAAGAUUGUUCAAGGCAACUUGAGCUAACAGAAGGCGGCUUAUUCAUACCC
RNAcentral lists this RNase P RNA (367 nucleotides) under Candidatus Woesearchaeota archaeon. Its description in RNAcentral is "RNase P RNA component". It matches the Rfam family "Archaeal RNase P". From Rfam's summary of the family: Ribonuclease P (RNase P) is a ubiquitous endoribonuclease, found in archaea, bacteria and eukarya as well as chloroplasts and mitochondria. Its best characterised activity is the generation of mature 5'-ends of tRNAs by cleaving the 5'-leader elements of precursor-tRNAs. Lineage: Archaea; Nanobdellati; Candidatus Woesearchaeota. The record is from RNAcentral.